Molecule: long non-coding RNA, 7563 nt
Organism: Leopardus geoffroyi (Geoffroy's cat)
Lineage: Eukaryota; Metazoa; Chordata; Mammalia; Carnivora; Felidae
Exons: 2
Source: RefSeq, a predicted model, not a curated record
UUGGAUAAGGUUAUUCCUUUUAUUGCUCAGUAUUUCAUUGUACAGAUAUACCACCAUUCAUGUAUACACAUUUUUUAUUUUUACAUAUGCUAUAAAUACACAUUCUAAAGGGUGGCCCAUGAGCCAAGAACGACUUUAAAACAAUUUUAAAUGAUUUGGGGGAAAAAGUCAAAAGACUUAACUUGUAGCACAUAAACAUUACAUGAAACUCAAAUCUCAGAGUCCACAGUUUUAUUGAAACACAGCCAUGCACAUCGACCUAUUGUCUAAGACUCAUUUCAUGCCACAGCGUUAGAGUGCUUACAAGAGGACACGCAAAACCUAAAAUAUUUACCUGCUCCUUUAUAGGCUUGCUGACCUCUUUAGACUUAAGGCAAUUCAAAAUUUUGAAAUUUUGCUUUCAUUUAUUCCAUUUCCGGCACUCUUUAUUUCAUGGUAGGCUCGCUCCCAUUUCUGUCUGGUUUCAUAUUCCUUCUGCCUGAAGAACUUCAGUAUUUCUUGUAGAAACAGAUCUUCUGGCAAUGUAUUCCUCCAGUUCUUUUUUAGUUAGAAAAGGCUUUAUUUGUCCUUUAUUUUCAAGGAUAUUUUCACUGGGUGUGGGACUCUGGGCUGAUAGGUUUUCUUCUUUCAGCACUGGUCACUCCAUUGUCUCCUGUCUUGCAUCAUUUGGUAAUUUUUGGCUUCCCCGGUAUAUUGUAUGUUAUUUUCCCUCUGGGCUGGAUGGCCUCUAAGAUUCUAUGUUUUAGCAUUUUUGAUAUGCUUAGUGUGUGUAUAGAUUUGUUUGGUGUUCUCUGAACUUCUUGGAUCUGUGGCUUGGCGUCUGUCCUUAAUACUGGAAAAUUCCCAACCUUUAUUUCUUCAAGUAUUUCCUUGCUUAUAUGAAUUCAUUUGGCCUCUUGUGCUCCAACAACCCACCGUGAGAAGAGCAUACCCUGGGUAGCUGAAUCCAGUUUAGAUCAGCUGAACUAUAGUUGUAGUUGACCUAGAGAUCCGUGUGAAGAGUUAGUGUUUUUGGUGAAAGGAACAGAGAGCAAAAGAGAGAAAGAAAAAGUUUAUAAUGACUGGCUAGAAACCUGGACAGAGAUUCUUGGCAGUGCAGCUAUGGAAAGGCAGUCCAGGAAGAACUGGGCCGGGAGACAUGGGGUCUGAUCCCAGGUGCGGGCCGUGGUAGCUCAAACUUGCUCAGGCUGAGCCUCUUUCCUAACCAGCUCCAGCAGCCCUACCUCUGGGAAGGCUUCCUUGACUGUUCUCUCUGCCCCAAGUGCUCAGGAUUCCUUUCUGCAGAUUGAGUUUUUCUGACAUUUAUCUUAACCUCACCUCCCAGAGGCGACUACAGCUAGUUUUUUAUUUUCUUCCAAUCUUUUUCUUAGGGGCAGUCUGUUUCAGUUUCUACCUUGAAAGGCCCUGAGGCUGUCUCCUAUCUCCCUCGGGGCAUUCAAACCCUACCCCCUAGCCUCUGUGGCCCAUCUGUCUCCAUGCCUGGGGUCUUGGGGGUCACUGUGACUUCCAAUAUCCACUUACCUUCAGAAUGAAUGGUCUUCCCUUCUGCCACCUGGGAAUUUCCAUUUCUUUCUUUGAAAUUGGCUAUGUACUUGAAAGUAAAGUGUUAUUUUAAAAUGUCAGCAUCUUCAUGUAUUUAGAACAAGAGGCAGGUGGUUAUCUGAGUUAGCUGGGUCUACUAUGUUGAUUGGCAAUGUGAUUUUUCCUGGAAACAUUUUCUUUUGAGUACAGGUGCCCCGUUUGCACAGUUUUGUUUCCCACUUUUCUGUUUGACAAGAACACAUUUCCCCUUGGGCUUAUGUCUCAUCUCUUUCAAUCUCCACUGUUUAGCACAGGGCCAGGUUCAUGAACACCAACUAAUGUUUGCUGAAGGGCCUCUCAUAUAAACACAUGACGUCUGGAAAGACCAGUCAAUCAGGUGAAUGUAUAAAGGACACUGGGCUGAGGGGGACGGAAGAAAGUAUUUAUCAGAGUGUGGAGAGCUGUGGGUAUGUAAGCUUCUUCGUAGGAAAUUCACCGUGAGGUUCCCAGAACCGUUCAUACAGAAAGAAGCAAGGUCCUCCCUUUCUGGGGACGUCUACAAAUCUGUAGCUGAGACUGACUCACAGGGUGAGACCAGGAAAUCAUUUACCAGCUGCUGCUGCUUUUCCUUUUUCUCAUUAGAGAAGGCAAGAAAACUCCGUCAAAGCGGGUGAUGCAAGAAUGAAGUUGACUCAGAAAUACCCAAUCCCCUCAGGAACUUCUCCAAGAAAUGGAUUGGCCAUUUUAUAAACUCCCAUCUGGAGACAUUAUAGCGAGACCACGAAGAAUCCCUGGUGAUUAUCAUGGCCACAGGGAGGCAAAUCCACACUGAAAUUUGCUAUACUGCAAGAUUAUUUAGCUUUCAGAAGAUUAAUUAAAAAUUCAAAGACGACAGAAUGAUAGUCUUAGAGGGAAAUGAGUGAGAUGGGGUGGGCGCAGACAAAGUAAUGCUGGCCUACAUGCUAAUUAGAAAUGACUUACAUUGUUAAAAAUCUGUCACAUUUAAUGCAUGGAUUUUUUUUUAAUGUUUAUUUUAUUUUGAGAGAGCGAGCGAGUGAGCAUGAACAGGGGAGGGGUAGAGAGAGAGGGAGACACAGAAUCCGAAGCAGGCUCCAGGCUCUGAGCUGUCAGCACAGAGCCCGACGUGGGGCCCGAACCCACAAGCCAUGAGAUCACGACCUGAGCUGAAGUCUGACACUUAACCGACUGAGCCACCCAGGCGCCCUGGAUUUUUUUUUUUUUUUUUUUUUUUUCUUAAAGAAGACACUUUACAAUCAUCUACUGUGAAACUGUAGGGAUGAAUGCACAAAUCUAUGGCCUCCCUAUACAUGUGACAUUGUCUUUCUGCAUAUGAAUCUGCACAACUGUACAAUUCAGAGUGGAAGGGAGCAUUGAGUCCGCCUGCAGCGUGUGCCAGGCACUUUCCAAGCACUGACUGUUGAGUCUGAACCACCACCCUAUGAAGCAGGUAUUUAGACCUCAAUUUUACAGAUGCAGAAAACGUUAGGACUUCUGGGGCAGAGGGGAAGAGAGGAGGAUAUGAUCAGGAAAUAAAGGGCAAAGCGGGCUUCAUCUGUAUUGGUAAUGCAGACCUAACCUGAACAGUAGGCUCACGGGUGUGUUAUAGCUUCUUUGUAACUGGCAGAGGUCCAAAGUGUUAUACGGUAAUUUAAAUCACUUGUGAAGAUUCAGAGAGAUUAACUAACUGACCCCAAACCAUACACCCAGACAGAACUCUGUUUAGAACCAGGACACUUAAGUUCUACUAGGUUAUUUCUGACAUUUAGCACAGCAUCAUAGUAAGGUAUAAAAUCUAGAAAGUACUUGAAUAUGUGAAGAUUGAUUCCAGAACCAGACUAUCUUGUGACACCCACUAUACAUCUAUUUUACCCAGAGAACAGCCUGAAUUUCCUAUUACUAUAUACAAUGGUGGAAAGCAGGACUCUCUUAGCAUCCAAGUCUACUAAAUUGGUAAGGAUCACUGCUUAGUCUUCAGCCACUUACGAUUUCACCAAGGCCUCAUUAAAUAAACAUUUUCUUGUCACGUUAGUUCAGUCUGGCCUGUGGCUUAUAAUUACAGCUGCAAACUUAAGAGCAAGAUUCUUCUGAUCUGAGAUAAUUUAUGCAGUAGUACUUUCAUUACUUACCGUGUGUGCGCGUGCACACACGUGUGGUGGAAUGUGUGCGUGUGUGUGGGAAGGUGGAAGUGGGAGCCGAGGAUGGAAUUACCAUUUACUGAGCAUCUAUUAUGAGCCUGGUAUGGUGCUAAGCAUUUUCCUUGUGCUACUCUAUUCAAUCCUCUUCAAUCCUCAGGGAUAUUGGCAUACUUUCUGAAAAGUUUUUAUGAGGAUGCACAGAUUAGUAAGACCUACAAGGUCAGCAGGAGUUUACGUGUAGGCCGAGAGAGACAACAAUACGAUCAACGUUCAGGUGUAACCAGGCAGAAGGGCAAGGGGAUGGUUAUGGCAGUGGGGGAAGCAGGCUGAGGGCAGUUGAGAUAGGGUGGAACAUCUGCUCAGAUCAAGGUUUUUAGACACAUGUUUUUUGAGGAGGGAACCGGGGACUUCUUUACUUCAAAGUCUUCUGGUUACUCACUUUUUCCUUAAGCAGGAAAAGGCCCCGGGGAGACAGUCUCUCUAACAAGCAUGUCACCAGGGACCAUCAGCCACAGUCCCUAUCGCUUUGGCACAAGGCCCCAAGACUGCAAGUUGCCUCCAGGGCUAAGGUAUCUCCAAGGCCGACCUUCCACAGGGCUUACUGCCAUUCACUCAACACCGAUCUUUUCUGCUAAUGAACAAGCUGUCUCCAUGGACCUUUUUAUUUAAAACAUCGACUCAAACCUUCUAAAAUCAGUGAUAGAGCUGAAAAGGAACUCUGAAGACACCUCACCCAACCUCACCCUGACUGAACACACAGAGGUCCUGGGAGGUCCCAAGGAUGGACAGUACUGUGAAUCACUUGCAAAGUCAGGACCAAGGACCAAUCCUCCAUACCAGGGGGCCAGGGAAACUAGGUUUAUCAAGGGCGUAACAGGUGCCAGAUAUGACAUUUACUCUCAUUCAAUCCCAAGGCAGCAGUGGCCCCAUUUCAUAGAUGAUGAAACAGAUUCAGAAGUUAAGUAACUUGCCAAGUGGCCAAGUAUGUGACAAGGGCAAGAAUGAAACCAGUCCUGUUUAGCAACAACAUCACGCCCUCUUUACUGAAUCUUGAUGUCAAAAACUUCCAGACUUCAGUGCUCCUCAACCAAUCUUAAUCCAUCCCAUUUCACAUCUCCAUCAACCCAGUAUUAAAUUCAAAACACACGAGACCUAAGCCAUCUAACACAGACGGUGUCGGUUUUUGAGAAGCAUAUUGCUCAGGCUGCAGGGACAUUUCAUGUUUAAAUGUUUUUAUUUAAAAAAAAAAUUAAAGACCUUCAUGGCACAACUUCUUCCCAGCACAGUUAUGUUUUAGUUAUACCAAUUACAAUACAAUUACAACCAAUAAAUCAAGGGGACGAGGGGGAGCUUCUGACUUCAAACUUAAAAAAAAAAAAAAAAAAAAAAAAAAAGAGGGGGGCACUUCAAACAAAGUUAAAAAUUACUUAAAAAACCUUUCAGAGUAAUUGCCAACACAACUGUCUUAUACUGGCAUUGCGUUUCCUGCCAUCUAGUCACUGCAGACACAGGCAGCGCUGAGAAAUAAAGUGUCCCAGUACAAGGUAUACAGAUGAGGUAAUUUACAACAACACAGAAGUUGUUACUCUGUAAACCCUUGCCCCCCACCCACCCGCCCAACUGGGUCUUCUUUUUUUUCAUGCUUCUGCAGUGACUCCUUAAGUAGCAUUUUAAAAACUUCUAUUUAUUUUAAAAGGCUCUUGGGUGGCAUUUCAGAGUCCUCUGCAUUCACCUUCCGUCUCUUGCAAGGCCUGAUGCGUGUUAGGAGGUCCAGCUGUCUGCAGCUCCCCACAUCAGCCUCAGCCACAACUAGAUUCUCUGAGCUACAAGGGUGGGAUGUGAAGUCUCGAUUUACAACCCUCCUCCCCACCUCAAAAGAAAGAAUUCAUUAGUCGUAAGUGUCCUGUUCAAAUCACAAUCCAGUGCAAACGUAAUCACAAAUUGCAUCUCUGGCACAUCCGGUGCUUUUAGCUUCUGCACAAAUUCCACAUGGUAACCCCCACAGCAUUCUAGGGCAUAAAAGGGUCAAGAACAAUAAAUAUCCACUGUAAGUGGCCACAAGAAAGAAAAUCACCCUGCCACACUGUCAGAAUGUUUUCCCUAUGGUUGAGAAGCAUUAUAAAAGGAGGCUUUAGCUUCCUCUAAAGUUUACCAUUAUAUUCACGAAAGCCACCACCUUGAUAAAGUUACUAGAGCCAAGAUGGGUUAUAAAGUUAGAUAAGUUCAUUAAAUUCAACUCCUGAAACAAUUAUGUUUGUCUAUGGCGCCCAGGCGAGAAAGGCUUAUGAUCUAUAAAGGUAGGAGAAAGGGGAACUAAGACUUUAGGCCUUAAAAUAUGUUGGAAGAAUUUUUCCUAGUUCCCACAAGCAGCUACUGUAAUGAAAGAGUAGGAGAAAAUACAGAGCUGAUGGUUUUGCUAUUGUGCUUAAAAAACUAGGCUUCCUCAGUGAAGCACCUGAUAAACUUAGGUGGUUGGAUUACAGUGGAAAAUCCACUUUACACACACACAAACACACAAAAACUGGCGACUUUUCCAUCCCCAAUCCCUGCACUGCUGAGACACAAAAUGAGUUUUAUGGCAAAGGAUCCUUAAUCCCCAGAGACGCUUUGGCUUGUGGUGCUUUUUUAAGGCCUCUCUGCCCUGCCCGGUACCAUGGGUCAAAUGAGGGGUGUAUAAAAAUGGGGGCCUUGGGAAGCCUCCACGGUACAGGGCUGCAGGCCCCUCAGAUGUGAACGUGAGACACCCACCCAGCGAGACCUUUACACAGGGAACUUAAAUCUAACCUUGAUAAAUAAAACCAAACGUUUAUUUACACCAAAGAAUUCCAACACUGGAUCUUUCACAUGUGAAGGACAAAGUAUUAUAUAUAUACACACAGCAAGGGGUGGCAGGGCUGUAACAAGAGAGUUUAUAGUUUUCCCACAAUUACAGGUCUACCAUUUCAGUUUCACUGGAGAUAGUGGCUCUGCUCCUACCUCUCAGAUACAUUUACAAGACUGAGGGGCAGGUCUUCUCACUGGAUGGCAUGUGAAGGAAGGGGAAGAAAGGAAGAAAAGAAGGCAGGAAGCUUAAAAUGAAACUCCGUGUGGCCACAUCUUCCAUUAGCUCUGAAAGAGUUGCUAGCAUGAAACCUAUAUAGACAAUGUUUGUUUCUUUUGCAAAAAGCAAUAAGUUAAGCCCAGUAACUAACUGAAUUCAAAAUGGCCAAGUCAAAGAAAACUGGAAAAGAUUUUGCCUCCCCCUCCCACCAGCUACAGAGCAUGUGGGGAGAUGAAGGCGGAGAGGACCAAGGUAAGGAGACUGGGAGGGAAGGUAUUAACAUUUUAAACUAAACUGAAACUAGAAGUCUAAGUGAGUUGGAUUUAGGGCUCGGUUAAUAAGACAUGAUUCAGAUUGAAGUUUUCAGGACCUGUCUGCACUUUGGGUAGGUGAUAUUCAGCAUCUCAAUGAAACUAAGACAUAUUUCCACUAGAUUCACCAUGACAACCCCACUGAAGCACUUGGAGUAAAGUGAUAAAAGUGACCAGCAGCACAACGCUCUUGUAGGUUGGGUCCUCCCUUCCUUCUUCCUUCCCACCUCCCUUGAAGAAGCUACAUUUUUAUAAUCUCUGGAGAAGAGCAUGAGAUAUAAAUCCCCCAAAGUGUGGGAUGGUGGGGGAGCAAUGAUGGACAUGGGAAGAGAUCUCCACCCAAAUGCAGCAGCCGGGAUUGAGGCUGGUUCAUCUUUGUUCUUUAGUGAUGAGAAAUUAAAUUUAAAAGGGGGGAAAAAUUUUGUCCGUGAAAUAUUCCACCUGCAGGUAAUUUUUCAGGGAAUCCCCUGAGUUAUGAAAAGUUCGAGUUAAAAAAAAAAGAAAAGGAAAAAAAAAAAAGGAAAAAAAAAGAAAA